GAUGAACGCUGGCGGCGUGCCUAAUACAUGCAAGUCGAACGAGGUGCUUGAGUAGCAAUACAAGAGUAUCCUAGUGGCGAACGGGUGAGUAACGCGUGGAUGACCUGCCCCAAAGUGUGGGAUAACAGUCCGAAAGGAUUGCUAAUACCUCAUGUGGUUAUCGGAUUUAGAAACUGAUAACUAAAGCAGCAAUGCGCUUUGGGAGGGAUCUGCGUCCCAUCAGCUAGUUGGUGAGGUAACGGCUCACCAAGGCGACGACGGGUAGGGGACCUGAGAGGGUGGCCCCCCACAAUGGAACUGAAACACGGUCCAUACACCUACGGGUGGCAGCAGUAGGGAAUAUUGCUCAAUGGGCGAAAGCCUGAAGCAGCAACGCCGCGUGUGCGAUGAAGGCCUUGGUCGUAAAGCACUUUUCUUACGAGAUGAGAAAGGACAGUAUCGUAGGAAUAAGUACUCGGCUAACUACGUGCCAGCAGCCGCGGU
This 483-nucleotide ribosomal RNA is filed under the name uncultured bacterium. RNAcentral describes it as "bacterial SSU rRNA". It matches the Rfam family "Bacterial small subunit ribosomal RNA", at positions 28 to 521 of the family's 1533-position model. The record is from RNAcentral.